This 162-nucleotide long non-coding RNA is filed under the name Danio rerio (zebrafish). RNAcentral's name for it is "lncRNA (ENSDARG00000117215.1)". Lineage: Eukaryota; Metazoa; Chordata; Actinopteri; Cypriniformes; Danionidae. The record is from RNAcentral.
UCUUUAUAAUUUGUAAUUUAUCUAAAUAUUUCAGCAUCUCCUGCCAGUACAAGCUCUACUACAACUGAGACAGCAGAACCUACAACCUUUGCCACAACAAAUUUUCCAUCAACUGUGUCUCCCACAUCAGCUCCUUCAAGUAAGUACAGUAUAUAUUUUUUC